AUGAUCGGGAUAACAGUGGAAACGGCUGCUAAUACCGGAUACGCUCAAAAUGAACUUUUUGAGGAAAGAUGGCCUCUGCUUGCAUGCUAUCACGUAAGGAUGAGUCCGCGUCCCAUUAGCUUGUUGGCGGGUAACGGCCCACCAAGGCAACGAUGGGUAGCCGAUUUGAGAGGAUGAUCGGCCACACUGGAACUGAAACACGGUCCAGACUCCUACGGGAGGCAGCAGUGGGGAAUAUUGCGCAAUGGGCGAAAGCCUGACGCAGCGACGCCGCGUGAGGGAUAGAAGGUUUUCGGAUCGUAAACCUCUGUCAGAAGGGAAGAAACUACGUUGUGCUAAUCAGCAGCGUACUGAACGGUACCUUCAAAGGAAGCACCGGCUAACUCCGUGCCAGCCGCAGC
This 401-nucleotide ribosomal RNA is filed under the name uncultured bacterium. RNAcentral describes it as "bacterial SSU rRNA". It matches the Rfam family "Bacterial small subunit ribosomal RNA", at positions 134 to 518 of the family's 1533-position model. The record is from RNAcentral.